UCCCCUAGUAACUGCGAGUGAAGCGGGAAAAGCUCAAAUUUAAAAUCUGGCGGUCUUUGGCCGUCCGAGUUGUAGUCUGGAGAAGUGCUUUCCGCGCUGGACCGUGUAUAAGUCUCUUGGAACAGAGCGUCAUAGAGGGUGAGAAUCCCGUCUUUGACACGGACUACCAGUGCUUUGUGAUGCGCUCUCAAAGAGUCGAGUUGUUUGGGAAUGCAGCUCAAAAUGGGUGGUGAAUUCCAUCUAAAGCUAAAUAUUGGCGAGAGACCGAUAGCGAACAAGUACCGUGAGGGAAAGAUGAAAAGCACUUUGGAAAGAGAGUUAAACAGUACGUGAAAUUGCUGAAAGGGAAACGCUUGAAGUCAGUCGCGUCGUCCGGAACUCAGCCUUGCUUUUGCUUGGUGCACUUUCCGGAUGACGGGCCAGCAUCGAUUUUGACCGUCGGAAAAGGGCUAGGGUAAUGUGGCACCUCCGGGUGUGUUAUAGACUCUAGUCGCAUACGGCGGUUGGGAUCGAGGAACGCAGCGCGCCGCAAGGCAGGGGUUCGCCCACUUUCGCGCUUAGGAUGCUGGCAUAAUGGCUUUAAACGACCCGUCUUGAAACACGGACCAAGGAGUCUAACAUGCCUGCGAGUGUUUGGGUGGAAAACCCGAGCGCGUAAUGAAAGUGAAAGUUGAGACCUCUGUCGUGGAGGGCAUCGACGCCCGGACCUGACGUUCUCUGACGGAUCCGCGGUAGAGCAUGUAUGUUGGGACCCGAAAGAUGGUGAACUAUGCCUGAAUAGGGUGAAGCCAGAGGAAACUCUGGUGGAGGCUCGUAGCGAUUCUGACGUGCAAAUCGAUCGUCAAAUUUGGGUAUAGGGGCGAAAGACUAAUCGAACCAUCUAGUA
RNAcentral lists this ribosomal RNA (886 nucleotides) under Perenniporia sp. RNAcentral describes it as "partial large subunit ribosomal RNA". It matches the Rfam family "Eukaryotic large subunit ribosomal RNA", at positions 76 to 949 of the family's 3401-position model. Lineage: Eukaryota; Fungi; Basidiomycota; Agaricomycetes; Polyporales; Polyporaceae. The record is from RNAcentral.